This 556-nucleotide ribosomal RNA is filed under the name Talaromyces sp. RNAcentral describes it as "LSU rRNA". It matches the Rfam family "Eukaryotic large subunit ribosomal RNA", at positions 76 to 647 of the family's 3401-position model. Lineage: Eukaryota; Fungi; Ascomycota; Eurotiomycetes; Eurotiales; Trichocomaceae. The record is from RNAcentral.
UGCCUCAGUAACGGCGAGUGAAGCGGCAAGAGCUCAAAUUUGAAAUCUGGCUCCUUCGGGGCCCGAGUUGUAAUUUGGAGAGGAUGCUUCGGGCGUGGCCCCCAUCUAAGUGCCCUGGAACGGGCCGUCAUAGAGGGUGAGAAUCCCGUCUGGGAUGGGUGGUCCCGCCCGUGUGAAGCUCCUUCGAAGAGUCGAGUUGUUUGGGAAUGCAGCUCUAAGAGGGUGGUAAAUUUCAUCUAAAGCUAAAUAUUGGCCGGAGACCGAUAGCGCACAAGUAGAGUGAUCGAAAGAUGAAAAGCACUUUGAAAAGAGAGUUAAACAGCACGUGAAAUUGUUGAAAGGGAAGCGUUGGCAACCAGACUCGCCCGGGAGGGCUCAGCCGGCACGUGUGCCGGUGCACUCCCCCCCGGGCGGGCCAGCGUCGGUUUGGGCGGUCGGUCAAAGGCCCCGGGAAUGUAGCACCCUCCGGGGUGCCUUAUAGCCCGAGGCGCCAUGCGACCUGCCCAGACCGAGGAACGCGCUCCGGCACGGACGCUGGCGUAAUGGUUGUCAACGG